This is a long non-coding RNA of Neodiprion fabricii, 1125 nucleotides long. RefSeq lists it as uncharacterized. The transcript is spliced from 4 exons. NCBI's taxonomy places the organism in Eukaryota, Metazoa, Arthropoda, Insecta, Hymenoptera, Diprionidae. The record is from RefSeq and is a predicted model, not a curated record.
AGAGCGCCUGAGUCAAAGAUGAAAUCAUAAAUCAUAAUACUUGUUGCGGGUGUGCGAAUACAGUUCAAUCGUAAGGGCUGUAUCUUAACGGAAAUAUUUUACUUCUUGUUUUCAGUUUCGAUUUUUGGAUACUAGGAUACUCGGUGUAAGAUUGAUGUCUGAUUAAUUGAGAAGUGCAGUGAGUUCGCUUAUCGUUACUGUUUGGUAGUUAAAUUCUUUCGUCUUAUCGGAAUACAAGAUUCGUAAACAUCAUAAUUUUACAUGUAGUAGGAAGGCUGCUAAUGGUUCACGGAGGAGGAUAUUGUAUUUAGCAUCGGCUAAAAAUUUAUAACGGUCUUGAAUACACGUCUGGAAACGAUCCUAAUCUUCAGAUGGUGAGGGAGGCCCUCAUUUUGAGGCCAACUUGAUAGUUUCAUCAAUGGCCACGCGGAUCACCACGUAUGCAAGGUUUUCGGCGGGCAAGUGGGCCCAGGUGGGCCUGGGAGCGUAGGAGGUUUCUGCUCUAUCGACUCUACCUAACGGUCUUGUACCGACAUUCGUAGCAGCGUAGUAGUGUCGGUAUGGAAGCUUGAGAUUGAGACGGGGACGCAACGAGGAGGUCAACUAACAUUGCCCCGCAUACGUCGAUCAGCUCGAUCAUCCCCGUAAGGAGACGCGAAACCGCGACUUGGUCGAUCAGCAAAAAUAACUGAAAUUCGGAAUCAGGAAGGGGGGGGAUUUAUAUUUUAUAUUAUAAUUAAUAACUCCUAUCAAUGUAGCUAAUUCCAAUUUUAAAUCGCGAAUAUCUCGAGAACGGUGAUGAAUACGGCAAAAAUAGCAAUAAUUCGGGGUCAAGUGGUGGGGGACAUUCAUUUUUAAUAUUAUAAUUAAUAACUCCUAUUAAUUUAGCUAAUUACAAUCUUGAAUCGCGAAUAUCUCGAGAACGGUGAUAGAUACGGAAAAAAUAGCGAAAAUUCGCGAUCACCUGGAAGGGGGACAUAACUUUUUCUAUUAUAAUUAACAAUUCCUAAUAAUUUAGAAAACUCCUAAGGUGCAAAUUCACCAAUAUUGUCGGGAAAUGGAAAAAUUACUCGGAAGUCUCUGCUUAAAUAUGUGAAAAACAAAACAGAACAUUUGGAUUAAUUC